This 404-nucleotide ribosomal RNA is filed under the name Actinomycetes bacterium. Its description in RNAcentral is "Actinobacteria bacterium partial 16S ribosomal RNA". It matches the Rfam family "Bacterial small subunit ribosomal RNA", at positions 355 to 776 of the family's 1533-position model. The record is from RNAcentral. Lineage: Bacteria; Bacillati; Actinomycetota; Actinomycetes.
UGGGGAAUAUUGGACAAUGGGCGCAAGCCUGAUCCAGCCAUGCCGCGUGAGUGAUGAAGGCCCUAGGGUUGUAAAGCUCUUUCACCGGUGAAGAUAAUGACGGUAACCGGAGAAGAAGCCCCGGCUAACUUCGUGCCAGCAGCCGCGGUAAUACGAAGGGGGCUAGCGUUGUUCGGAUUUACUGGGCGUAAAGCGCACGUAGGCGGACUAUUAAGUCAGGGGUGAAAUCCCGGGGCUCAACCCCGGAACUCCCUUUGAUACUGGUAGUCUUGAGUUCGAGAGAGGUGAGUGGAAUUCCGAGUGUAGAGGUGAAAUUCGUAGAUAUUCGGAGGAACACCAGUGGCGAAGGCGGCUCACUGGCUCGAUACUGACGCUGAGGUGCGAAAGCGUGGGGAGCAAACAGG